GGAGGAAUGGCCGAGUGGUUGAAGGCGGCGGUCUUGAAAACCGUUGUGCGGCAAAACCGCACCGGGGGUUCGAAUCCCUCUUCCUCCG
This 88-nucleotide transfer RNA is filed under the name Acidobacteriota bacterium. RNAcentral describes it as "Acidobacteria bacterium (sediment metagenome) tRNA-Ser". It matches the Rfam family "tRNA". From Rfam's summary of the family: Transfer RNA (tRNA) molecules are approximately 80 nucleotides in length. Their secondary structure includes four short double-helical elements and three loops (D, anti-codon, and T loops). Further hydrogen bonds mediate the characteristic L-shaped molecular structure. tRNAs have two regions of fundamental functional importance: the anti-codon, which is responsible for specific mRNA codon recognition, and the 3' end, to which the tRNAs corresponding amino acid is attached (by aminoacyl-tRNA synthetases). tRNAs cope with the degeneracy of the genetic code in two manners: having more than one tRNA (with a specific anti-codon) for a particular amino acid; and 'wobble' base-pairing, i.e. permitting non-standard base-pairing at the 3rd anti-codon position. Lineage: Bacteria; Pseudomonadati; Acidobacteriota. The record is from RNAcentral.